Long non-coding RNA from Hirundo rustica (Barn swallow), 1525 nucleotides. RefSeq lists it as uncharacterized. The record is from RefSeq and is a predicted model, not a curated record. Lineage: Eukaryota; Metazoa; Chordata; Aves; Passeriformes; Hirundinidae. The transcript is spliced from 2 exons.
GUUAACUAAUUACCACCAGUGGGAUUUUCAAUCAAAUAGGUUGAUUUAAGGGCAUUUAAGUAUUGCUCCAUCUCUAAUGGCUACAGGACUACCAGUGCUGCUUUCCAGAGGUGAAAUUUAAGAGAUGUUUAGGAAGAAGAUUGAAACAGAGUUUGAUUUGGGCUUCUAUACCAGCUGAUUCAAGGCUCUCCUACAAAAAGCUCAGCUUCAUGGAGGAUAGAUGACUCAUUUUCAUUCAGCCAAACCUUGCAGAUUUUUUAAUGGUGCAGGAAUAAACCCAUCAAUUUUCUACCUAAGGAAAGGUAAAAUAGAUAUAUCAAGACCUAGAUUGCAAAUGUCAAGUUGAUUUUUGCUGCCUUAGUUCCUGGAUCUUUCAUUAGCGCUAAACACACUUGGUGCAGGGAGCAGAGAGCCUUUGGAGCAGCAGCUGGUGUCUUGGAAGAGAGCUACCUGGGCCAUGCCUGCGGCUGAUGCUAACAAACUUCUUGCUCUGCUCCGGGGGAAACUGUGGGAAGUCGGUGUCGGGUGGGCCAGGGGGAAUGGAGACCCUUUCUUAGCACCAUUCCUGCAAGAUCCAGCUUUGCAAGGCCACCUUCUCCUGAGCAAGAAAUCCCUCUUGGAACAGCUGGCUUAAAGUAGGUGCUCGUCUUCCUUACCUGAGCAGAUUGGCAAAACCAAGUUUCCAAUUUGGUGAAGAGAACAUUUAUUUGUGGGUUCUGCUGCCACGCUUGUGCAAGCGUUCCAGAGCAGUGCUGUGCUAAAAUGUGGGACCAUGUCUUUUAUACCCUGAUGGAAAAGUGGAGGUAUGUGAGCGAAGAGCACAGCAGAAUCUCUUGGCCUUAUUUUGGUUUUCAGUGAUCUUAUUUUGUCCGUGUUGUCUGCAUAUUGACAUGACAACCAAUCAGCUAAAACUUGGCUAAAUACUGACCUCUCUGAUGUGAUUUAAAGCUGUCUCGUGGAAAAAAAUUUGAAGGAUCACUAGCUGAAAUUGAAAUACUCAGCAGCAGGGCAAAGAGAACUACAGUACAUGAAUACAGAGAGGACUGUCCUCAUGGUAAUCCUGGCAGAUGGCAUAAGGUUGCAAGCAAGUAAUAGAAAAUUUUAAAACUAAUGAAACAAGAUUAGCAUAGGCCAUUCCAUUAGUAUUUCUCCUCCCAAACAGUUCAGUCCUGAUUAUAUUUUAUAUCCUCAUGGAAUUAAAGCACUGUACUUGGUGGCUGCAAAGGAAAAUUAGAUCGGGCUACGGUCUGUGGAUGAUUAACUUGCAUUUCCUUUCAGAUUAAAUGUAUAUGCUGGAGCCUUUUGGAGCCACAGACAGACCCUUUUCUUAUGGGAAAUUUGAGCAACAAAUUCAGGGUCCAGUACUUCAUCUUAGGUGAAAUAAACUGGGCACAGACAAACCAAGACUUUCAUGAACACUCACAAAUUUCAAUGGUUCCACCGCAUGAGAGAUGUCGCCGACAAAACAUGAUUAGGGAAAGUUGUGGGACUCCGAGAUCUGUUUUUCCCGUGCACUGGAGAGGGC